This 208-nucleotide ribosomal RNA is filed under the name uncultured bacterium. RNAcentral describes it as "partial 16S ribosomal RNA". It matches the Rfam family "Bacterial small subunit ribosomal RNA", at positions 568 to 774 of the family's 1533-position model. The record is from RNAcentral.
UGCGUAGGUGGUGAGGUAAGUCGGAUGUGAAAGCUCGGAGCUCAACUCCGAAAUGGCAUUGGAAACUACCUCGCUCGAGGGUUGGAGGGGGGACUGGAAUACUUGGUGUAGCAGUGAAAUGCGUAGAUAUCAAGUGGAACACCAGUGGCGAAGGCGAGUCCCUGGACAACUCCUGACACUGAGGCACGAAAGCUAGGGGAGGCAAACA